AAUAAGUACCAGUUCAAUAAAUUUAGUUGGGGCAAAAUGAGUAAGACAAGACAAGGUAAAUUUGCCUCUUCACUUCUCAAAAAUUACAUUUGAAAACGGACUCAUA
Long non-coding RNA from Octopus sinensis (East Asian common octopus), 106 nucleotides. RefSeq lists it as uncharacterized. NCBI's taxonomy places the organism in Eukaryota, Metazoa, Mollusca, Cephalopoda, Octopoda, Octopodidae. The record is from RefSeq and is a predicted model, not a curated record. The transcript has 3 exons.